Molecule: ribosomal RNA, 515 nt
Filed under: uncultured bacterium
Lineage: Bacteria
Description: bacterial SSU rRNA
Rfam family: Bacterial small subunit ribosomal RNA
Source: RNAcentral
AUUGAACGCUGGCGGUAUGCUUAACACAUGCAAGUCGAACGGCAGCACGAGGAGCUUGCUCCUUGGUGGCGAGUGGCGGACGGGUGAGUAACGCGUGGGAAUCUACCCAGUAGCGGGGGACAACCCGGGGGAAACCCGGGCUAAUACCGCAUACGACCUUCCCCUUGGUUGGGGUUGGAGAAAGCAGGGGAUCUUCGGACCUUGCACUAUUGGAUGAGCCCGCGUCGGAUUAGCUUGUUGGUGGGGUAAAGGCCUACCAAGGCGACGAUCCGUAGCUGGUCUGAGAGGACGAUCAGCCACACUGGGACUGAGACACGGCCCAGACUCCUACGGGGAGGCAGCAGUGGGGAAUAUUGGACAAUGGGCGAAAGCCUGAUCCAGCAAUACCGCGUGUGUGAAGAAGGCUCUAGGGUUGUAAAGCACUUUCAAUGGGGAAGAAUGCGAAGGGUUAAUACCCCUUCGAGAUGACGUUACCAUACAAGAAGCACGGCUAACUCCGUGCCAGCCGCCGCGGU